UAAGGUGAUAUGAACCGUUAUAACCGGCGAUACCCGAAUGGGGAAACCCAGUGUGACUCGUCACACUAUCAUUAACUGAAUCCAUAGGUUAAUGAGGCGAACCGGGGGAACUGAAACAUCUAAGUACCCCGAGGAAAAGAAAUCAACCGAGAUUCCCCCAGUAGCGGCGAGCGAACGGGGAGGAGCCCAGAGCCUGAAUCAGCAUGUGUGUUAGUGGAAGCGUCUGGAAAGGCGCGCGAUACAGGGUGACAGCCCCGUACACAAAAGCGCAUGUGCUGUGAGCUCGAUGAGUAGGGCGGGACACGUGGUAUCCUGUCUGAAUAUGGGGGGACCAUCCUCCAAGGCUAAAUACUCCUGACUGACCGAUAGUGAACCAGUACCGUGAGGGAAAGGCGAAAAGAACCCCGGCGAGGGGAGUGAAAAAGAACCUGAAACCGUGUACGUACAAGCAGUGGGAGCCCCACCACUAAGCCAGUGGUGAACUCCACAUACGCAUCCUUUGCUGAGGAUACGGUUAACG
RNAcentral lists this ribosomal RNA (520 nucleotides) under Salmonella enterica subsp. enterica serovar Rissen. RNAcentral describes it as "partial 23S ribosomal RNA". It matches the Rfam family "Bacterial large subunit ribosomal RNA", at positions 82 to 628 of the family's 2925-position model. The record is from RNAcentral. Lineage: Bacteria; Pseudomonadati; Pseudomonadota; Gammaproteobacteria; Enterobacterales; Enterobacteriaceae.